RNAcentral lists this ribosomal RNA (252 nucleotides) under uncultured bacterium. RNAcentral's name for it is "partial 16S ribosomal RNA". It matches the Rfam family "Bacterial small subunit ribosomal RNA", at positions 524 to 776 of the family's 1533-position model. The record is from RNAcentral.
UACGUAGGUCCCGAGCGUUGUCCGGAUUUAUUGGGCGUAAAGCGAGCGCAGGUGGUUUAUUAAGUCUGGUGUAAAAGGCAGUGGCUCAACCAUUGUAUGCAUUGGAAACUGGUAGACUUGAGUGCAGGAGAGGAGAGUGGAAUUCCAUGUGUAGCGGUGAAAUGCGUAGAUAUAUGGAGGAACACCAGUGGCGAAGGCGGCUCUCUGGUCUGCAACUGACGCUGAGGCUCGAAAGCAUGGGUAGCGAACAGG